ACACACAUUAAGUAAACAAGACAUUAAGAGAUUCCCCAUUCUUAAUCCUCGUUUAACUUAAUGGUUUUCAAAUUCCACACAAAACAAAACUCAAACAUACUUUCAACCCACAUCAAAACACAUCAAUUCAUUUAUUCACAAGAUCCAACCAUACACAUAUCAAAUUUCAUCAAUAUCAAUUAAGAGCACAUCAAUUCAUUUAUUCACAAGAUUCAACCAUACACAUUUCAAAUUUCAUCAAUAUCAAUU
Molecule: long non-coding RNA, 249 nt
Filed under: Cicer arietinum (chickpea)
Lineage: Eukaryota; Viridiplantae; Streptophyta; Magnoliopsida; Fabales; Fabaceae
Description: long non-coding RNA (CARI_LNC002334)
Source: RNAcentral